This 252-nucleotide long non-coding RNA is filed under the name Elaeis guineensis (African oil palm). Its description in RNAcentral is "long non-coding RNA (EGUI_LNC010218)". Lineage: Eukaryota; Viridiplantae; Streptophyta; Magnoliopsida; Arecales; Arecaceae. The record is from RNAcentral.
UUCCAACAGGAUCUACAGGAUUCGAUCGACUCCAAUCCAAAUUUCUUCCAGAACUUCGUCAGUUCAUCAGUGGUCGAACUUUUCCAACAGCAGAUCUCCAUGACGGACGGACUCCAUCCAAAUUUCUAUGACGGUCGACCGUCUUCUGGACUUCGUCCGGGCUCCUAUGGGAGCCGGACUUCCUCUCCAAACUCCUACUGUAGGUAGACUUCGUCUGGGCUUUAAUGGGAGCCGGACUUCUUCUCCGAGCUC